AUUAUUAUCGAGGGUGUGACGGAGAAGGAUAGUGUGUGCUAGCGAUUGGAAAUGCUAGUCUAAGCGUUUAGGCAGUUACGGUAGGCAAAUCCGCUGUAACGUUAAUGCCGAGGCGUGAUGGGGAAGGCCCUUGAGGCUGAAGUACAUGAUUCCAUGCUUCCAAGAAAAGCAUCUAGAGAGAGAAGUAGUGCCCGUACCGCAAACCGACACAGGUAGAUGAGGAGAGAAUCCUAAGGCCGGCGGAAGAAUUGCAGUUAAGGAACUAGGCAAAUUGACCCCGUAAGUUAGCGAGAAGGGGUGCCUGCGAGAGCAGGCCGCAGAGAAUAGGCCCAAGCAACUGUUUAGCAAAAACACAGGUCUCUGCUAAAGCGCAAGCUGAUGUAUAGGGGCUGACGCCUGCCCGGUGCUGGAAGGUUAAGGGGAACACUUAGCGCAAGCGAAGGUGUGAACUUAAGCCCCAGUAAACGGCGGCCGUAACCAUAACGGUCCUAAGGUAGCGAAAUUCCUUGUCAGGUAAGUUCUGACCCGCACGAAUGGCGUAAUGACUUGGGCACUGUCUCAACUGCAAAUCCGGCGAAGUUGUAGUGCGAGUGAAGAUGCUCGCUACCCGCGAUUGGACGGAAAGACCUCGUAGAGCUUUACUGUAGCUUAGCAUUGAAUUCCGGUAUUGUCUGUACAGGAUAGGUGGGAGACUGGGAAACUAGGGCGUCAGCCUUAGUGGAGUCGUCCUUGGGAUACCACCCUGACAGUACUGGGGUUCUAACAGGACGCCAUGAAUCUGGUGACUGGACAUUGUUAGGUGGGCAGUUUGACUGGGGCGGUCGCCUCCUAAAAAGUAACGGAGGCGCCCAAAGGUUCCCUCAGAACGGUCGGAAAUCGUUCGUAGAGUGCAAAGGCAGAAGGGAGCCUGACUGCGAGACCUACAAGUCGAGCAGGGACGAAAGUCGGGCUUAGUGAUCCGGUGGUACCUCGUGGGAGGGCCAUCGCUCAACGGAUAAAAGCUACCUCGGGGAUAACAGGCUGAUCUCCCCCAAGAGUCCACAUCGACGGGGAGGUUUGGCACCUCGAUGUCGGCUCGUCGCAUCCUGGGGCUGUAGUAGGUCCCAAGGGUUGGGCUGUUCGCCCAUUAAAGCGGCACGCGAGCUGGGUUCAGAACGUCGUGAGACAGUUCGGUCCCUAUCCGUCGCGGGCGUAGGAAAUUUGAGAGGAGCUGUCCUUAGUACGAGAGGACCGGGAUGGACUGACCUCUGGUGCACCAGUUGUUCUGCCAAGAGCAUGGCUGGGUAGCUAAGUCGGGAAGGGAUAAACGCUGAAAGCAUCUAAGCGUGAAGCCUCCCUCAAGAUGAGAUUUCCCAUAGCAUAAGCUAGUAAGACCCCUUGAAGAACACGAGGUUGAUAGGUCAGAGGUGUAAGUGUGGUAACAUAUUUAGCUGACUGAUAGUAAUAGGUCGAGGGCUUGACCG
Molecule: ribosomal RNA, 1463 nt
Filed under: metagenome
Description: bacterial LSU rRNA
Rfam family: Bacterial large subunit ribosomal RNA
Source: RNAcentral